This 253-nucleotide ribosomal RNA is filed under the name uncultured bacterium. RNAcentral describes it as "partial 16S ribosomal RNA". It matches the Rfam family "Bacterial small subunit ribosomal RNA", at positions 524 to 776 of the family's 1533-position model. The record is from RNAcentral.
UACGGAGGGGACUAGCGUUGUUCGGAAUUACUGGGCGUAAAGCGCGCGCAGGCGGUUUUCCAAGUCAGUGGUGAAAGCCCGGAGCUCAACUCCGGAAAUGCCAUUGAAACUGUAAAACUUGAGGACGAGAGAGGUGAGUGGAAUUCCCAGUGUAGAGGUGAAAUUCGUAGAUAUUGGGAAGAACACCGGUGGCGAAGGCGGCUCACUGGCUCGUUUCUGACGCUCAGGCGCGAUAGCGUGGGGAUCAAACAGG